AUACGGAGGAUGCGAGCGUUAUCCGGAUUUAUUGGGUUUAAAGGGUGCGUAGGCGGUCGGGUAAGCGUAGGGUGAAAGUCCUCUGCUCAACAGAGGAAGUGCCUUCCGAACUGUCCGACUGGAAUGCUCCUGCCGUGGGCGGAAUGUGUGGUGUAGCGGUGAAAUGCAUAGAGAUCACACAGAACACCGAUUGCGAAGGCAUCUCACGAAGGGGCUAUUGACGCUGAGGCACGAAAGCGUGGGGAUCAAACAGGAUUAGAUACCCUGGUAGUCCACGCAGUAAACGAUGAUGACUAACCGUCGGUCAAGACUGAUCGGUGGCCAAGCGAAAGCGAUAAGUCAUCCACCUGGGGAGUACGACCGCAAGGUUGAAACUCAAAGGAAUUGACGGGG
This 393-nucleotide ribosomal RNA is filed under the name uncultured bacterium. RNAcentral describes it as "partial 16S ribosomal RNA". It matches the Rfam family "Bacterial small subunit ribosomal RNA", at positions 523 to 918 of the family's 1533-position model. The record is from RNAcentral.